This is a long non-coding RNA of Molossus molossus (Pallas's mastiff bat), 1721 nucleotides long. RefSeq lists it as uncharacterized. The transcript is spliced from 12 exons. The record is from RefSeq and is a predicted model, not a curated record. Lineage: Eukaryota; Metazoa; Chordata; Mammalia; Chiroptera; Molossidae.
CCAAAGGAAAAACAGCCUCCACCAGCAUGUCUGUACAGGAGAAAGCUACCCCUCCAGCCCUCGUCUUUGUUUGGAGGCCAAACAGCACAGUUCUUCCCUGUUCUCUGGUGCUCCUCAAGCUGCCUCCCCUAGGAGCUCAGAGGGAGCAAGUCUGAUUUCUAUGAUUCCAUGAGAAGCUAUAUGUAAAAGAUGUAGCCUGGGGCUUGGCACAAGCUUCUCUUCCCCAGGAGCACAGAGGAAAGAAGCCAAAUAAUAGGGGAAUGGAUGAGAAAGCACAAGACCACUUCAUGAUUCCUGCUUUUUAAGAUCUCUGGCUGGAAACAUAGCUGGGAGCUGAUCAAUGCCAUCCCGGUCGGUGCUGGAUCACCGCCAGAACUGAUUGUAACCGUGUAAGCAAGAAGCCUACAAGAUGACGCCAGCCCCAAUCACCAUCUGAUUGCAACUUCAUGAAAGACUAAGCAAGAACCACCUAGCUGAGCCCAGUCAGCUCCCAGAGCAAGGAGACUUUGCUCUCCCAUUCUGUCGUUUGGAAAGCACAAUCAGUUUCUGUUUGAAGUAGGCAAAGAAAUAGAUGGAUGCUCAUUAAACCAAGAUUCUCAAUUCCAAGUGAGAGGGAUUUACAAGUGAUCAAGACCAAGCUCUACAAUCAAGAAGCUUCAAGUGUCAUGGGGAAUUUCAGUAUGAAGUCACUAUUCCUGCAAGUUCCACUCUGACCUUGUUUAUUCAUUCUGUCAGAAAAAAUUACUUCAAGACCAGGGAUGUGAUGCAUAUAAUGAAAGACAAAGAAACCAACAAAGAACAACCAACAAGCAAAAACCCUGUGUGAGAGCAAAGAGCCAGAGCUUGAAACUUACAGUGGACUACAGAUGUGGUAUGACUCAGAUUUGAAAAUGAAAUCGAAGACAAUAUCCUAGGAGAUGACAGAGCAACAAGAUAGCAGGAACCUGGGUCAUGAUAGCCUUAUGGCACAGAGCAGCUAUGCAGUCUUGAAAUUAUCUUUAUACUGGUGUGAAUCCAUGGUCCUGACCCUUGCCAUUAGCAAGGCCCAUGUGGCUAUUACAAAAUGAAAAACACCUGGCUCUCAGCUUUGGGCACACCUUGAUUCUGCUAUUACUUGGAUUAAUCCCUUGUCAGUCUAAGUGGGCAGCAGAUGACUUGCACUCUCUUUGGUGUGAUAACAAGAGUAUAAAGUGUCUAUAAAGAAGAAAAUUGCUAAGAAAUUAAAGCAGGAUUGUAGGAGCUGAGCCCUAAUCAUUGUGCCUGGCAGAGAUCAGCAUAAUGUAAGCUCCAUGAAGGGGUGCCCUCUGCGUCUCAGAGUGGACCCUGGAAAACUGGUCGCAACACGUUUGUCGAGUGAAUUUCCAGGCAUCACCUGAGCUCUGCCAGAACCGAGAUUUGAAUUGUUAGAGGAAAUGAACAGCUGGAAUCAACACUGAGCACUUUGGCAUAGGCGUAUCAUGCUUUUUUCACUUGUAAAUUAUGAUCUAUUUCAUCUUUAGAAACUUCAGUUUACUUCCAGGAAGCUCUUCAAAGGAUCAUGAAACUCACUUGUCUGGACAAGAUCAGUUUGCUUCAGUUGACUUGGCAGUAUGUUCAUUUAUUGACAAGAGAUUGCCAGGAACUUGAAAAAGAAUACCACAAUGUCUCCCUAUACCUUGUACCACGUCAGAUAAGCAAAUAACUGACUCGGAAAAUUUAUGAUAGCUUUAUAGAUGUUUUUC